This 634-nucleotide ribosomal RNA is filed under the name uncultured bacterium. RNAcentral describes it as "bacterial SSU rRNA". It matches the Rfam family "Bacterial small subunit ribosomal RNA", at positions 202 to 824 of the family's 1533-position model. The record is from RNAcentral.
GAAAGAUGGUUUUGCUAUCACUUAUAGAUGGACCCGCGCCGUAUUAGCUAGUUGGUAAGGUAACGGCUUACCAAGGCGACGAUACGUAGCCGACCUGAGAGGGUGAUCGGCCACACUGGAACUGAGACACGGUCCAGACUCCUACGGGAGGCAGCAGUAGGGAAUCUUCCGCAAUGGGCGAAAGCCUGACGGAGCAACGCCGCGUGAGUGAUGAAGGGUUUCGGCUCGUAAAACUCUGUUAUUAGGGAAGAACAAAUGUGUAAGUAACUGUGCACAUCUUGACGGUACCUAAUCAGAAAGCCACGGCUAACUACGUGCCAGCAGCCGCGGUAAUACGUAGGUGGCAAGCGUUAUCCGGAAUUAUUGGGCGUAAAGCGCGCGUAGGCGGUUUCUUAAGUCUGAUGUGAAAGCCCCCGGCUCAACCGUGGAGGGUCAUUGGAAACUGGGAAACUUGAGUGCAGAAGAGGAAAGUGGAAUUCCAUGUGUAGCGGUGAAAUGCGCAGAGAUAUGGAGGAACACCAGUGGCGAAGGCGACUUUCUGGUCUGUAACUGACGCUGAUGUGCGAAAGCGUGGGGAUCAAACAGGAUUAGAUACCCUGGUAGUCCACGCCGUAAACGAUGAGUGCUAAGUGUU